This 945-nucleotide ribosomal RNA is filed under the name Sordariomycetes sp. U8.1. Its description in RNAcentral is "eukaryotic LSU rRNA". The stretch from base 416 to 945 matches the Rfam family "Eukaryotic large subunit ribosomal RNA", at positions 1 to 543 of the family's 3401-position model. The record is from RNAcentral. Lineage: Eukaryota; Fungi; Ascomycota; Sordariomycetes.
UGCCCUCCGCCCCCGGGUCUCCGGGAGGUGCGGGGCGCCGCGGAGGUACGAAACUCUUAUGUAUCACAGUGGCAUCUCUGAGUGAAAAACAAAUAAGUUAAAACUUUCAACAACGGAUCUCUUGGUUCUGGCAUCGAUGAAGAACGCAGCGAAAUGCGAUAAGUAAUGUGAAUUGCAGAAUUCAGUGAAUCAUCGAAUCUUUGAACGCACAUUGCGCCCGGCAGUACUCUGCCGGGCAUGCCUGUUCGAGCGUCAUUCAACCCUCAAGCCCUGCUUGGUGUUGGGGCCCUACGGCUGCCGUAGGCCCUGAAAGGAAGUGGCGGGCUCGCUGCAACUCCGAGCGUAGUAACUCAUUAUCUCGCUAGGGACGUUGCGGCGCGCUCCUGCCGUUAAAGAACCCAUCUUUAACCAAGGUUGACCUCGGAUCAGGUAGGAAUACCCGCUGAACUUAAGCAUAUCAAUAAGCGGAGGAAAAGAAACCAACAGGGAUUGCCCUAGUAACGGCGAGUGAAGCGGCAACAGCUCAAAUUUGAAAUCUGGCUUCGGCCCGAGUUGUAAUUUGUAGAGGAUGCUUUUGGCGAGGUGCCUUCUGAGUUCCCUGGAACGGGACGCCAGAGAGGGUGAGAGCCCCGUAUAGUCGGACACCAAGCCUUUGUAAAGCUCCUUCGACGAGUCGAGUAGUUUGGGAAUGCUGCUCAAAAUGGGAGGUAUAUCUCUUCUAAAGCUAAAUAUAGGCCAGAGACCGAUAGCGCACAAGUAGAGUGAUCGAAAGAUGAAAAGCACUUUGAAAAGAGGGUUAAAUAGCACGUGAAAUUGUUGAAAGGGAAGCGCUUGUGACCAGACUUGUGCCGGGCUGAUCAUCCAGUGUUCUCACUGGUGCACUCGACCCGGCUCAGGCCAGCGUCGGUUCUCGUGGGGGGAUAAAAACUUCGGGAACGUGGCUCC